RNAcentral lists this ribosomal RNA (468 nucleotides) under uncultured bacterium. RNAcentral describes it as "partial 16S ribosomal RNA". It matches the Rfam family "Bacterial small subunit ribosomal RNA", at positions 28 to 507 of the family's 1533-position model. The record is from RNAcentral.
GACGAACGCUGGCGGCGUGCUUAACACAUGCAAGUCGAACGGAAAGACCCUGCUUUUGUGGGGUUCUCGAGUGGCGAACGGGUGAGUAACACGUGAGUAACCUGCCCUUCACUUUGAGAUAACUUCAGGAAACUGGGGUUAAUACCGUAUAGGAGCUCCUGCUGCAUUGUGGGGGUUGGAUAGUUUCGGCGGUCGGGGAUGGACUCGCGGCUUAUGGGUUUGCUGGUUGGGUAGUGGCUUACCAAGGCUGUGAAGGGUAGCCGGCCUGAGAGGGUGACCGGCGACAAGGGGACUGAGAUACGGCCCAGACUCCUACGGGAGGCAGCAGUGGGAAAUAUUGCACAAUGGGAGGAAGCCUGAGGCAGCAACGCCGCGUGCGGGAUGACGGCCUUCGGGUUGUAAACAGCUGUCGCCUGUGACGAAGCGGGAGUGACGGUAAUGGGUAAAGAAGCACCGGCUAACUACGUG